Molecule: long non-coding RNA, 1242 nt
Filed under: Bos mutus (wild yak)
Lineage: Eukaryota; Metazoa; Chordata; Mammalia; Artiodactyla; Bovidae
Description: lncRNA (ENSBMUG00000024644.1)
Source: RNAcentral
GAACACCAGCUUCGAGGAAAAGGAUGCACGUUUUCUUGUUUAACAAAAUAAAUUAAAUAUACGAAGCUUCAGCUCAAACUCUAUAUAAAAUUACAGAGGUCUGGGGCCACGGGUAGCAGGGUGAUGGGUGCCCAGGCCAGGGUGGACAUCCAGCAUGGCCACAAGGCCAGGUGGGUCCUGGGCCCCGGGAGAGGCCAAGUCUCUGUGGCCCAGCCCUCCUUUCAUCAUUAUUAAUAUUAUUAUCUUAAUUUCUUAAAUAUAAAUAUCAAAGGCCCCUCCUCUCUGGCAGUGGGAGGCCGGGUGGGACAAAAGUCACCCCCCGCUGGCUCCAGCCGCUCAGGACAGGGCCCAGGACUGCCCCGCCCGACCCCCUCCAGGGUGCUGGUGGACUCCUGGACACCAGGACAGGUGGUGGCAAAAAUAGCCAGGGCAGGGACACGGGCAGGCAGGCGCGGGGACGGGGUCGGAGUUUUUGGUUUGCAAAGCCAGGGUGCCUCUCAGAUCUCCUGCCAGGCCAGGGUGGGGGGGUGACCAUGGCCUCCGUGAAAUCCUUCUCACGGGGCCAAGGGAUUCCUUCAUGAGCUAGCCGGUCGCCACAUGCGCACUGCGGUUACAAUACAGGCCUUCCCAAAGGCUUCUCAGUCUGCAUGUAUGUGUGUGUGUGUGUGCGCGCGCGCGUCCACGUGUGUGCGUCUCACGGGGCACGGGGAGAUGGCCCCACGGUCUGUCCUUCCCUGUGGCCCUCCACCCCAGCCUGCCGCUGGCAGUGCCGCCACGAGCCCACCCGAGGCACCCUAGCCCUGGUAGUGGGUGUGCUGGUGCUGGUGGCCUCUGCCCUGCACAUGUGAGUGUGAGUGUGUGUGUGUCUAUGUGUGUCCAGAGGUAUGUCAUGUGUGUGUAUGCGCGUCCACGUGUGUGCGUCUCACGGGGCACGGGGAGAUGGCCCCACGCCUGCCGCUGGCAGUGCCGCCACGAGCCNNNNNNNNNNNNNNNNNNNNNNNNNNNNNNNNNNNNNNNGGGUGCGCCUCGCGGGCCGGGGGGACCCGCCCCCCACCCUGCCGCUGGCUGUGCCGCCACGAGCCCGCCCGAGGCACCCUAGCGCUGGUAGUGGGUGUGCUGGUGCUGGUGGACUUUGCCCUCCACAUGUGAGUGUGUGUGUGAGUGUGUGUGCGUGUGUGUGUGUGUGUGUGCGUGUGCGUGUGAGUGUGUGUGUGUGUGUGUGUGUGUGUGUGUGUGCGUGUA